UUUGGCGGGCCGCGGUCCUCCGCACCGGCGCCCUUCGGGGGGCUGGCCAGCGCCCGCCAGAGGACCAUAAAACUCCAGUCAGUGAACUUCGCAGUCUGAAAAACAAGUUAAUAAACUAAAACUUUCAACAACGGAUCUCUUGGUUCUGGCAUCGAUGAAGAACGCAGCGAAAUGCGAUAAGUAAUGUGAAUUGCAGAAUUCAGUGAAUCAUCGAAUCUUUGAACGCACAUUGCGCCCCUUGGUAUUCCGAGGGGCAUGCCUGUUCGAGCGUCAUUUCAACCCUCAAGCUCUGCUUGGUAUUGGGCUUCGUCCUCCACGGACGCGCCUUAAAGACCUCGGCGGUGGCGUCUUGCCUCAAGCGUAGUAGAAAACACCUCGCUUUGGAGCGCACGGCGUCGCCCGCCGGACGAACCUUUGAAUUAUUUCUCAAGGUUGACCUCGGAUCAUGUAGGGAUACCCGCUGAACUUAAGCAUAUCAAUAA
RNAcentral lists this ribosomal RNA (482 nucleotides) under Neofusicoccum parvum. RNAcentral describes it as "eukaryotic LSU rRNA". The stretch from base 120 to 273 matches the Rfam family "5.8S ribosomal RNA". The record is from RNAcentral. Lineage: Eukaryota; Fungi; Ascomycota; Dothideomycetes; Botryosphaeriales; Botryosphaeriaceae.